This 403-nucleotide transfer-messenger RNA is filed under the name Candidatus Omnitrophota bacterium. It matches the Rfam family "transfer-messenger RNA". From Rfam's summary of the family: Bacterial tmRNA, also known as 10Sa RNA or SsrA, is named for its dual tRNA and mRNA-like properties. Its role is to liberate the mRNA from a stalled ribosome. To accomplish this part of the tmRNA is used as a reading frame that ends in a translation stop signal. The record is from RNAcentral. Lineage: Bacteria; Pseudomonadati; Candidatus Omnitrophota.
GGGGGUGAAAGGGCUCGACUUAGGUAUGUCGGGUAAGAGCAGCAUGUCGCGGAUGUAAGGUGAGCCGCGUUAACAAUCCUUGCACAAUAUAAACGCAAAACCAAUAACAAUGGUUAACCGCUUGGCUGUGAACCCAGUAAUGGGUUUUGUGCCAGCCGGUUGUUUAGUUUCGCUUCACUAAGAAGCGAACCUCUCUUCAGGCAGCCUGUGGUCUGAUCGAGAGCCGCUAACAGGCUGGUUCGGGUAAAUUUGCCUUUGGGGCCCGGAUAAGACUAAAAAAGGCUGCGGCCUGCGCAAUCCUGUCUAGCGGAGUGCUCAGGAAUAAGCGAAAUAGAUAGACUAAACAUGUAGCGGCUUUUAUCGGUCUGCUUAGGGACGGGGGUUCAAUUCCCCCCACCUCCAA